This 422-nucleotide ribosomal RNA is filed under the name Salmonella enterica subsp. enterica serovar Thompson. Its description in RNAcentral is "bacterial SSU rRNA". It matches the Rfam family "Bacterial small subunit ribosomal RNA", at positions 1 to 423 of the family's 1533-position model. The record is from RNAcentral. Lineage: Bacteria; Pseudomonadati; Pseudomonadota; Gammaproteobacteria; Enterobacterales; Enterobacteriaceae.
UGAAGAGUUUGAUCAUGGCUCAGAUUGAACGCUGGCGGCAGGCCUAACACAUGCAAGUCGAACGGUAACAGGAAGCAGCUUGCUGCUUCGCUGACGAGUGGCGGACGGGUGAGUAAUGUCUGGGAAACUGCCUGAUGGAGGGGGAUAACUACUGGAAACGGUGGCUAAUACCGCAUAACGUCGCAAGACCAAAGAGGGGGACCUUCGGGCCUCUUGCCAUCAGAUGUGCCCAGAUGGGAUUAGCUAGUUGGUGAGGUAACGGCUCACCAAGGCGACGAUCCCUAGCUGGUCUGAGAGGAUGACCAGCCACACUGGAACUGAGACACGGUCCAGACUCCUACGGGAGGCAGCAGUGGGGAAUAUUGCACAAUGGGCGCAAGCCUGAUGCAGCCAUGCCGCGUGUAUGAAGAAGGCCUUCGGGU